Molecule: ribosomal RNA, 443 nt
Filed under: uncultured bacterium
Lineage: Bacteria
Description: partial 16S ribosomal RNA
Rfam family: Bacterial small subunit ribosomal RNA
Source: RNAcentral
CCUACGGGGGGCAGCAGUGGGGAAUAUUGGGCAAUGGGCGCAAGCCUGACCCAGCAACGCCGCGUGAAGGAAGAAGGCCCUCGGGUUGUAAACUUCUUUUAUUCGGGACGAAACAAAUGACGGUACCGAAUGAAUAAGCCACGGCUAACUACGUGCCAGCAGCCGCGGUAAUACGUAGGUGGCAAGCGUUAUCCGGAUUUACUGGGUGUAAAGGGCGUGUAGGCGGGAGAGCAAGUCUCAUGUGAAAUACCCGGGCUUAACUUGGGGGUUGCAUGGGAAACUGUAGAGCUUGAGUACAGGAGAGGCAAGCGGAAUUCCUAGUGUAGCGGUGAAAUGCAUAGAUAUUAGGAGGAACACCAGUGGCGAAGGCGGCUUGCUGGACUGAAACUGACGCUGAGGCUCGAAAGCGUGGGGAGCAAACAGGAUUAGAUACCCCUGUAGUC